RNAcentral lists this ribosomal RNA (351 nucleotides) under uncultured bacterium. RNAcentral's name for it is "bacterial SSU rRNA". It matches the Rfam family "Bacterial small subunit ribosomal RNA", at positions 355 to 723 of the family's 1533-position model. The record is from RNAcentral.
UCGGGAAUUUUGGGCAAUGGGCGAAAGCCUGACCCAGCAACGCCGCGUGAAGGAUGAAGUAUUUCGGUAUGUAAACCUCGAAAGAAUGGGAAGAAUAAAUGACGGUACCAUUUAUAAGCUCCGGCUAACUACGUGCCAGCAGCCGCGGUAAUACGUAGGGUGCAGGCGUUAAUCGGAAUUACUGGGCGUAAAGCGUGCGCAGGCGGCUCCUUAAGUCAGAUGUGAAAUCCCCGGGCUUAACCUGGGAACUGCGUUUGAAACUGAGGGGCUAGAGUGUGGAAGAGGGGGGUGGAAUUCCAGGUGUAGCAGUGAAAUGCGUAGAGAUCUGGAGGAACACCGAUGGCGAAGGCA